GGGAACGAGCAUUUUUUGCUGUCUGAGCGGUGCAGAGCUGGGAAAAACACAAAUUAGCUGGGUGACGCAGACUGAUGCAACAAAAACAACCACUUGCUCCCUGCAAUGGUCAGUGGAAUGCCGCUGACCAAAUCACCUCUCCAGUGCCAUGGUGAGGUCAAGAAGCACUUGCAGCGCAUUUCUCUCCAAUACCAGAGCCAGACAUGGCUGGGGGGUAGGAAAUGGAGAAAGAAAGACAGGAAGGAAAGAGAGAAAAAAAACGGAUCUGCUAGAGGGUGUAGGGAGCCAUGGUGCUGUUCCCCAGGGCAUGAAGCAGGCAUGGAGGA
Long non-coding RNA from Oreochromis aureus, 326 nucleotides. RefSeq lists it as uncharacterized. The record is from RefSeq and is a predicted model, not a curated record. Lineage: Eukaryota; Metazoa; Chordata; Actinopteri; Cichliformes; Cichlidae. The transcript has 3 exons.